CUUGCAUUCUCGGACCUUGUUGACGAUGAAUUCUUGGAUGAGAAACCUGAUAUCUUCCAUGAGGCAGUCAUCAUAAAGAAGUCUGAAUAUCUUGGUUGAGAGCUAGACUUUGGAAACAGAGAGACCCUGUAUAAUAACAGACUAAGAAGUAAGGAAGACAAGCCCAGCCAGUCCCACAACUAUUUCAUUAAUACCAGGUAAAGCAACAGACCUGCCAGUGAAGCAUCUUGGAUCCUUUAGCUUUAGAUUAUUUGCCUUUCCCAUUGUGCCAGUCUUCAUCAUAGCAAUGAGUUGGAGUUUUAAUUAAAUGAAAAAGAGCAUACCAAGUCAAAUCUUCUGCAAUUAAUUGCAUGUGGCA
Molecule: long non-coding RNA, 358 nt
Filed under: Homo sapiens (human)
Lineage: Eukaryota; Metazoa; Chordata; Mammalia; Primates; Hominidae
Description: HSALNT0078027
Source: RNAcentral